This 228-nucleotide long non-coding RNA is filed under the name Mustela putorius furo (domestic ferret). RNAcentral's name for it is "lncRNA (ENSMPUG00000031452.1)". The record is from RNAcentral. Lineage: Eukaryota; Metazoa; Chordata; Mammalia; Carnivora; Mustelidae.
CGCGAGAGGUUUUCCGGCAGGAAGUCGGGCCACUUUCGGUUUCUCCCCUCCACAGCUUUCCGCGGAGAAUCCGUAUAGCCUGAAGUGAUGAAAUUCUCCAGUUUCCCAUUUGAUGGUCUCCACUGCAAAUGCCUGUUCACGCAGAUUGGAAGUGUGAAGAAGUGUACAUCAAACAAAAUGAGUAACCUCUCGUCCUUCUGCACAUAUCUCUUCAACCUUCACUAGCAC